RNAcentral lists this long non-coding RNA (1241 nucleotides) under Sus scrofa (pig). RNAcentral describes it as "lncRNA (ENSSSCG00030033330.1)". The record is from RNAcentral. Lineage: Eukaryota; Metazoa; Chordata; Mammalia; Artiodactyla; Suidae.
UCCAACAUCCAUUAAUCCCUUUAUUUUUUUUCCAUUAAUCUUAAUAGUCAUUCAUUCUUCCAACUGAAUGUCCAAAAGACUUGAGAAGUCCCUGAACUUCCAAAUCCUGAUGUUCCCCUUUCUUUCUGGCAACUCUUUUCCUAUCUUAAGAUAUGGCAGCAGUAACAACUGAGCAAUUCUCAUUCCUGGCUGUAUAGUAUGAAUGGUAUCUGACCUUGCUAUCACCUUAAUUUCUCCCUGAUAGUCCUCAUUAAUUACCCCAGGCAAAACUUGUAAACCUUUCAUGGUUAAGCCACUUCUCCCUAUGAUGAAGCCUACACUAUCAGGAGGGAGAGGGCCAUAAAUUCCAGAAGGGAUAUUUAGGGAUAGCCUGAAUGCCCUGUUCAUAUGUUAAAACUGCUGCUGUGGCCCAGGGUAAUGCGCUGCUGGAUUGCCCCUUGUAAGGGAUUGGAUUCCUUUUCCAAGACACAAAUGCCCUUGGUUGAUAGGGCCGGGGCUUCCUGUUUCCUAACACCAAAGCUGUAAGUAGGGUGCCGUUUUGUGAAACUUAGAUUGACAGUGAUGAGCCCAAUGAUUUCUUUUCUGACAAGAGGACAUAAACAUGGUUAGGACUAGGUCCUGGAGAUGAUCCUGUUGCAGGGUGUGCCUUUUCUUUUGAGUGGGCUCAGCAUUCUCUCUGAAAGUGUCCUGCCCUUCCAGAGUUAAAACAUUUCUUUCUUGAGCUUCCAAGUAAGUGUUACUUUCAAUGCUGCAGCAGGCAUUGCUUGAGUAUGACCUGUACUCCCUACAUCUUGCACACCUUAAUAAAAUCAGAGAUGCCUUCUGAAUUUCUUACAGGGGUCAUUGCCCUUUUACAGUCUUUAUUUGCAUUUUCAUAUGCCAAUUAUUUAAUUAAAAUAUCAGCUGCCUGAGAACGUGCUGCUUGGCGAUGUACUGCUCUUGAAGUGGGCAGUCUACAAAUUGUGGGUAAGCUUCUGUAGGACCUUGAAGGCAUAUUACAAAAGAUCCUUGUGGAUUUCCUCAGGAAUUGUCAUCCAUGCUCUUUGGGCAGCCAGGCUCAACUGCUUGUAUAACCAAAGAUCAGAAGUCAGUUGCUUUGCUAAGUCAAGAAAAGGGCCUGUCCCAACCAACUUUUUUUUUUUUUUUUUUUUUGGUCUUUUUGUCUUUUCUAGGGCUGCACCCAAAGCAUAUGGAGGUUCCCAGAAAAGACAAAAAAAUAAAAUAAAAAUAAAAAGUAACUG